UGGGGGAAUGUAUUUCUCACACGGAUUUCCUCUGAAUCUCUCCUGUAACUUAAAACUAGCCAAGCCUCAUAAGAAUGUGCACCAUGGCGGGGUGUCUCAUCUGAGAAAAGUGAAGCUUAAAAAGGUCAGCAAGGAAGCCUGGAACAGGAAAUGGAAAGGGAACAGUUUUGGAGUGAGAUCUGGGAACUGCUCCCAGAUUCUAAUCUCACCAGCUGUGUGAUUUUGCUCCAGUUACCUAAUUACAUUUCUCAUUUGGAAAACUUGAAUAAUAUCUGCUCCAUGAUUGUGAAGAUUGACUGGAAUCACGGAUCUGAAGUCUCGACUCAUUAGAUGCUGCUCUCGGAGGGAUCUCUCUUAAAUAUUGAGAUUGGUUUCAAUAUGUGACCUGUAAUCUGACCUCAACCCAUCAACUCCAUAUCCAAAUUAUAUCCACAAGCCAGUCACUUCCAACCACUUCCUAUGCGACUGCCUGUUCAAGUCGAAGCCAUUGUCAUCUUUCUCCAAGAUUAUUGUAGGUAGUAUCUUCCUAAAUUGUUUCCUUAUGUCCUGACUAUUUUCCCUAAAAAUAUUUUGAAUACUGACAGUAUCCUUGGAAUAAAUGUAUCAGCUCUCUAGAGGGAUGUUUUGGCCAUCACUUAGAUAGCCACUCAGUUAACAAAUACUUACAGAGCUCCUACCAUAUGCCAGCAUUUUUACCGGCUCUGAUGAUACAACAAUGAACAGAACAUAUACAGAUCCCUGCCUCACAGAGCAUAUAUUUAUUGGGUACAGUGACCAUUUAACAAAUAAGCAAGUACAAAAUACCCUAUGCCAGAAGGCGAUGGGCACUAUGGAGAAAAGUAGUGUAGAACAAGGGAGGGAAAAGGAGCACAGAACUGGGAGUGGAAAGGUUUUUUAAGUUUAAAUAUGGUGGCUGGAAAAAGUCCUUCUGAUGAGCUGACCUUUGAGGAGAGCCUGGAAGGCGAGGUGGGAGGGGGCCACAUUGAUUAUGGAGAGGGUAAUGGAGAGAAGGGAGCAGAGAGGCUGGUUCAGGCAGAGGAAAUAGCAGGCACAAAGGCAAAGCAGAGGCCAGACUGGUUUGGCACAGUGAAUAGGAGAAUAGAGAGGUGGUUACACAUAUGGUGGGAAUGGUAAAGGGAUUGCAAUGAUCACUGAAGGCCUUCCUGAGGACUUGGGUUCCUACUCAAAUGAGCUGGAAAGGCACUGGAGGACUAUGAGGAGAGAGGUGACCGUGAUCGGAUUUACAUUUUUAAAGGAUCAUUCUGGCUAACCACUUCAGUAGAGCUUUGGUUCUCAAACUUGAAUAUGCAUCAGUCACCUCCAAGGGCUUAUUACAACACAGUUGCCACGUCCAUCCCCAGAGUUUCUGAUUGACUAGGUCUGGUGUGAUGCAGGAGAAUUUGCAUUUCUAGCAAGUUGCUAGGUGAUGCCAAUGCUGUUGGUCCGGGAGCACACUGUGAGGACCACUGGUGAACAAAAUAGUUUGUAGGGGACAGGAUAGUUGAGGCAGGAGAGCCAGCAAGGGGCCUAUUCGCAGUAACCUAGAAAAAAGGAUGAUGAUGGCUUCAGUUCAGCUAGGUGGUAGCAGAAAAGUGGUGAGAAGAGAUUAGAUUCUGGGUAGAAUUUGGAUAUAGAUCAAUGGGAUUUGCUGAAGCAUUCAAUCUGGAGCAUUAUGAAAGAAAGAAACGAGCCCAGGGUUCAGUCCAAGCAACUAGAUGAAUGGAAUUACCAUUUACUGAGAUGGCAAAAACUUAGGUAGGAUAUAGGCUUAGUUUGGGGGAGGGUUGGACUUGAUAUGCCUGUUAGGGAUCCAAGUAGAGAUGGCAGUCAAGCCUUUCUUUUAGAGGAGUCUAGAAUGCAGCAGAGAAUUCUGGGCUGGAGGUAGAAAGGCAGGAGUUAACAGCAUGUAGAUGGCUUCGUGAAGCCUGGCCGAGAUCAUCACUGGAGAGAAUGCAGUAGAGAAGAGGUUCAGUGCCUGGUGCUGGCAGUCAGUGUGGGGUUAGAAGUCAGGGUGGGGAGAGGCACCAGAAAUAAGACUGGGAAGAGAUCAGGGAGGUGAAAGGAAAACCUAGACAGUGUGGGGGCCUGGAUGUCAAGGGAAGCAAGUAUUUUAAUGCAUUCUGGUGCAUUCGCUAGGAAGCCACCUUGUCAUAAGAGUUACCACCAGGCAUCUUCUGUGAAGGAGGAGAUACUGCCUACCAUGGAAAAUGCCCAGCUGUGAAGUGGUCCCUUAUGGGUAAAUUAUCCCCACAGGAAAAGACAGUUACCUUGACUGAAAUUUCACACACACACACACACACACACACACACACACACACACACAUACUUUUGAGUUGAUUUUACUGUUGCAACCAAAAAAACAUACCACGGACACAAUUUAAUCAUUGACAAAGACUAGAAUCUUUUCUUUCAUCUUCGUGCAUUCUGUCUAGCUGACUUCUGUCUUUGAAGCAAAUUGUCCAAUUUUGAGGGUUGGAGUUAGAUGUGUGAUCAGACUACUGGGAAUAUGUGUUCUUGGCAUCCCCUUUAUUUUCUGAUAUUGAGCCUCGGAAACCUCUAAUUUUUCAACACAACCUCAGGUACCCCAGCUCCCUGAAGUACUUACUAGAGGAAGCUGUCGCUUGCUUCUCUUGUGAGAAUCACAGAGAAAUUCUGGUAAUUCAGGAUACACUGAGCAGAGCCAUUAGUUGUAUCCCUUAUCAAAGUACAAGUGGUGGCAA
Molecule: long non-coding RNA, 2720 nt
Organism: Mustela erminea (ermine)
Lineage: Eukaryota; Metazoa; Chordata; Mammalia; Carnivora; Mustelidae
Exons: 3
Source: RefSeq, a predicted model, not a curated record